Molecule: ribosomal RNA, 414 nt
Filed under: uncultured bacterium
Lineage: Bacteria
Description: bacterial SSU rRNA
Rfam family: Bacterial small subunit ribosomal RNA
Source: RNAcentral
UCGAGGAUCUUCGUCAAUGGGCGCAAGCCUGAACGAGCGACGCCGCGUGCGGGAUGAAGGCCCUCGGGUUGUAAACCGCUGUCGAGGGGGAGAAAGGCCCGCAAGGGCUUGAUCGAUCCCUGGAGGAAGGACGGGCUAAGUUCGUGCCAGCAGCCGCGGUAAUACGUAGGGUGCGAGCGUUGCCCGGAUUUAUUGGGCGUAAAGGGCGCGCAGGCGGCUACGCACGUCCGUUGUGAAAUCGCUCGGCUCAACUGGGCGGGGUCAGCGGAUACGGCGUAGCUGGAGCAAGCUAGGGGGCAAUGGAAUUCCCGGUGUAGUGGUGGAAUGCGUAGAUAUCGGGAGGAACACCAGUGGCGAAGGCGGUUGCCUGGAGCUUUGCUGACGCUGAGGCGCGAAAGCGUGGGGAGCGAUCCG